Lycium ferocissimum is the source of this 2380-nucleotide long non-coding RNA. RefSeq lists it as uncharacterized. The record is from RefSeq and is a predicted model, not a curated record. NCBI's taxonomy places the organism in Eukaryota, Viridiplantae, Streptophyta, Magnoliopsida, Solanales, Solanaceae. The transcript is spliced from 6 exons.
AUGUUCUCACUUAUGGUGUUUCCCCUCUAGAUUCCUCUUCGAUUGUCCAGAGUAACAAACUAAUUUCUACAGAGUUCGUCCGAAAUAGAGAAAUUCCGAGGAAUCAAAAUUUAGUAACAGGAGACAUCGAAUUGUAAGGUAGCCGCUGCAAAGAAAUUAGCUCUUGUGAUUGCCAAUAGCAGGAAAGAUGCCAUUAACAAAACUUGGAAUUGUCCUUUGGAACAAAGGUGUAGGACUCUUUGUCUGAUUUCAGUUGGCAUUAAAUGGAAGAUACACCAUCACGAUGAUGAGCACCAGUGUUGUCAUGUUUGAUGGGUUUCGGAUGUCAGAUUAGCAAAUUUAUGCUCUUUAGGAUCUAAUUGAAGUUGUGAUAGUAUAACAAAUUGAUGAAAUUCAAUAUAAUAUUACUAAUAUGUAACGGCAUAUUCUGAUUGUAAAUGUACAAAUCAAACUAGCCACCAGAUGAAUGAGUUGGUAAAGUAUAGAUGGCUUGGAGGAGUCAUCAUUGGGACUAUGAUAGGCUUCAAUUUGACUUUGAUUGAAGGUGCUCAAGCUGGCCUGCGCAAUGUCGUCAUAACUGGAAGGAGCUAUGGUGCUUCAACAAAAUUGAAGGAUAAGCUAGCUCUUGACAAAUUACAACAGACAAUGAGGUGAUCAUUUUCACCUAGGUUAUUAAAAAUGAGCUUUGUUGUUGAUUUCGGUCGAGUUGUGACCCCCCCCCCCCCCCCUUCACCGGAAUUUUACUUGUUUUCCUGCUAUCUUCCUAAGUUGAGCAAAUCAGUAGUUCUAUUGUUGUUUCCAAAUAGGUUGCUUCAUUGCUAAUUUAAGAUCUUUCUCCACCUACCAUUUUGUAAAAACAAGAACCACCAACGCGUGCACAAAGGUGAGUCACGCUCUUCCCCCUCUAUAUAUAGGGGUAUAAAGCUUCAGUUUUUUCCGCGAGUAUCUGUUUUAACAUCCUGCCCGUGUGCUUAGUUGAGAAAUUUUGGGCAGCUUCUCUCUGAAUUUCCUUUUUUUAAUCCUUUAACUUCCACAAAGAAUUGUUUUAAGGAAGUCCAAACAAACUUUUGGAUCUCAUACUUUAUUUAUGCUUUCGUCGAGAGUUUGAAGAGGCAACAUGCAUUGAAAAUAAUAGAAUUACCUCUUUUAAGUCACAACUUGAUGACUUCUUUAUAUAUGGUUGAAUCAUUUCCUUAUUUCACCUUUGCAGAUUAAUAAGACUUGAUCCGGUCCUUUACAUUCUUUCCAAAGAAAAAUUAUGUUUCACGAAAAACAAAGCAGAUAAUAUUCUUUAAAUUUGUAAGUUCAGAAAUUAAGUGGAGCAAGUCAUUUCAAGGCAUUUGACAUUUCAUUUUAAAUUUCAUUGUCAAUAAUUCAGGAAUGCAGAAAUUAUAGUUUUUUUUUCUUUCUGGAGUGGCUCUGGGGGGUACCAUAGACACUUAAUUUUUAUCUCCCCCUCGAUCAUUUCAACGACAACUAUCUUCUAUACUGUGGUUUUUAUAUCGACAUGUUCUUAUGGUGCAGUACCAUUUAUUGGAACUGUGUACGCCAGGUGAUACGACGAAGGAAAUCUCUACCAGGUUGGCUAAAUUUUUUAAAAUCUUACAUUCAAAGAGGAUUCUGAAACAGUAGCUUCUGUCGAUUAACUUUUUGAGAAUGAGCUUCUGUAAAUUAACUCCUGCUCGGCUUCUUCAUUGAGAUUGCCUCAUAGCUGUUGAAUUUAUCAUAUUCUUGACCUUUGAAUGAAUACAAGGAAAUGCAGUUAUCAAUUUGUCCUUGCAGCGGAUGGUGUGCCAGAAAUAAGUUGAAGAUGUAUGAUAUCAAUGAAUGAGUCUUGCUUCAGUGAUCCCUCUCUCCAGAAGGAUCACAAGAAUGAUCUGAUAGUGGAUGAAGAAAAAAGAGCACUGAAAACACAUGGAAGAGAUGAUCAUGUAUUUUGGUGACACUGAGAUGGAGCGGCCAAAGUACGAGAUUGAUAGCCGAUUUGAAGCUAAAGGUUCCAUGUAGUAGUUCAAGACCGGGACAUAUCUUCAUACGUUGAAGAAUUCUAAAACUUUUGAGUUCUUGAUUCUUGGUUUUGCUAUGUUUGUAGUAAAAUAACUAUUCCCUUUCUAAAAGCAUACAUUGUUGGACCUAUGCUAUAUACUCCAUAGUGUUUUAAAUUGGGGAGUCACUUUUAACAGCGUGAAGACUAUAUAUAGGUAAAUCUGGAUGACCUAAGGUAUUUCUUUUUACUGUUGACCAAAGAUUUACAGGAGUAAACCUUUGUUUUCUGCCAAUUAAUCAUGAUGGAAUAUGAAAUUAUUGGAAUAUUAAUUUAUGAACUUUGAUUCAUGAUGGUUAUAAUGUUACUUUGUAAUUAAAAAAACUUGUUAAUGUA